Long non-coding RNA from Anser brachyrhynchus (Pink-footed goose), 409 nucleotides. The record is from Ensembl. Lineage: Eukaryota; Metazoa; Chordata; Aves; Anseriformes; Anatidae.
AUGUUAUUCUUUUUAACUUGCUUUAAUGUGCUCAGGGAUUUUUCUUUUUUCUUUUCUUUUGUUAGCUGGCUUUGUUUUGGAGAAAGCAAGGCUGUAGACCCAGAGACUCCCUCUUACGGGGCUUGGAGAACAGAGAAAGUAUUAGGGAAAAACAGGAGCGUCUCUUCCUUGGGCUGUUUUGCACCCUUUUGUGACAUGCAUCUUGGAAGACACUGCCCCAGAGAAGAGGAGCUGCUGGCUGGUCAUGAUGCACCGCCUGGGAUAUUUUAUUUUCUGCAGCUGAGGUUGUGGUAAUUUGUCCUGUCUCUACUCCUGCCUUCUCCCCCACAGCGCUGUUGCACGCUGUUGUACUCCCAUCACCCUGUAAGCUCACAAUAAAGCCUUUCACUAGGGAAUGGUCUUAAAGGGA